This is a non-coding RNA of Etheostoma cragini (Arkansas darter), 72 nucleotides long. NCBI's taxonomy places the organism in Eukaryota, Metazoa, Chordata, Actinopteri, Perciformes, Percidae. The record is from the annotation of a RefSeq genome assembly.
UCCUCGUUAGUAUAGUGGUGAGUAUCCCCGCCUGUCACGCGGGAGACCGGGGCUCAAUUCCCCGACGGGGAG